This 304-nucleotide long non-coding RNA is filed under the name Olea europaea (common olive). Its description in RNAcentral is "long non-coding RNA (OEUR_LNC014600)". The record is from RNAcentral. Lineage: Eukaryota; Viridiplantae; Streptophyta; Magnoliopsida; Lamiales; Oleaceae.
AAACCAUCACCACUAUUACCAAACACACAGUUCCAUUAAAACUGGCCAACCAUAAUCUGUGAAGCACUACAAAACUGGCAAAUGGAUCAUCCUCAGUGGUUUGUUCAUCAAUUAUGAAAUUUUUAGCUUGAAUAAGGACCAUUCACUAAGUCUCAAUUAGACUUUCAGUGUGUGAGUCACCUUUAUGCCAUGGUUCCAGGGUUGUCUUGUUGGUAAUGAUUUAAAAAUUUAGAGGGCUCUAAAUAUGUUGAAGCAUUCUGUAGGGUGUCAACUUAUGGUUGAUUUGGGACUAGGGAAAAUGAUA